Molecule: unclassified non-coding RNA, 221 nt
Filed under: Hevea brasiliensis (rubber tree)
Lineage: Eukaryota; Viridiplantae; Streptophyta; Magnoliopsida; Malpighiales; Euphorbiaceae
Source: RNAcentral
UUUUUAAUCUACGUUAGUUUAUAGCUUUUGUUUCUUCUUCUUGUUUGAUCUCAUAGUUUUGUAUUAUUUUGCCAACUUGUAGUUGGUUAGAUUUGGUAUAUGGAAUUAUGGCCACAGGCGGGCAGAAUUGAUGAUUUCGAAUUGUGGAAUUUAGAGAGGAUAGCUUGUUCUUAACGGUUUUGGUUUAGGAGGUUUUUGAUUCUGGUUUAGGUUGACGGGAG